CUUUCUUUGCUAGCGACCGGCGCACGGGUGAGUAACACGUAUCCAACCUGCCCUUUACUCGGGGAUAGCCUUUCGAAAGAAAGAUUAAUACCCGAUAGCAUAAUGAUUCCGCAUGGUUUCAUUAUUAAAGGAUUCCGGUAAAGGAUGGGGAUGCGUUCCAUUAGGUUGUUGGUGAGGUAACGGCUCACCAAGCCUUCGAUGGAUAGGGGUUCUGAGAGGAAGGUCCCCCACAUUGGAACUGAGACACGGUCCAA
This 254-nucleotide ribosomal RNA is filed under the name uncultured bacterium. RNAcentral describes it as "partial 16S ribosomal RNA". It matches the Rfam family "Bacterial small subunit ribosomal RNA", at positions 79 to 334 of the family's 1533-position model. The record is from RNAcentral.